Carassius auratus (goldfish) is the source of this 2140-nucleotide long non-coding RNA. Lineage: Eukaryota; Metazoa; Chordata; Actinopteri; Cypriniformes; Cyprinidae. The record is from Ensembl.
UAAAGCUCCAAGAUGAAUGCAAGAGGAAGAAAUGGGCCGUUGUUUAUCAAGACGUACAGUAAAAGAAUGCGAAAGGUGGAGCCGUGGUUCUCUCCUGACCUGAAGAAAGCAGCUUUCUCGUUUUCAAGCACUCUUUCAUCAGAUCAGUCCAUAACAGAGACCACACAACCCAAGAAACGGAGAAUAAGAGAAAGAGCUUCCCGUCCUGCCAAGAGCAAAGGCAUGACUGCUAUAAAGGAGAACGAGGAAAACUACUCACCGUCCUCAUUGUUCAGAAAGAAGACAAAUGCAAAACCAUCAGUGAGGACGACAGCUGUGAGGAAGACUCGAACGGCAAAAACAAAUAAACCGAUCAUUCUCAGCAGCAGUGAAAAUGAGGAUGACUCCUGUAUGAUAAAGAAAAGAAUUCGUCCGAAAACGUCUGCUGGUGAAUGUGCUGGGUGAGGCUUGUUAUACAUUUAGUAAAAAAAAAAAAAUCACUGCUGCUUGACUUUGUUUGAGUGAAAUAUUGUUUUGUAUCUGUGUAGUGCUGAGAAAGUGUUCGGCGCUCAAUGUUUGCCUAAGUUCGUCACACAUCGCAGAAGACCACCAGCACCCAUCCAAACCAAUCCGAUCGUAAGUAACAGUCUGCAAGGGGGGUUCUUGGUUUCUAUUGGAUUGGCAUUAAAACAGUUUUUUUCUUUCCCUCUAGUCUGUUGAUGAUUCCUUAGAUGACUUUCUUCCUCCAUUCUCCCAAAACAAGCGGAAGCCGCUUCACAUGGGCUCCAAUAAUCAUGCUGCUCUCAAGAACCGCGUGGCUCUGGCUGAAGUCUCGUUCAAUGACAGCGAUGACCAGCAGCUCCCAAGUAAACGUCCUCUGCUGUCGAGUACACCUUCUCUGGUCUGCAGACGGCUCCAAACCUUACCAGAGCGCUCCAUCAGUGAGAUCUCCUCCCUCAGCUUUGAUGAACUUCACCAGCCUGCAGAAAACAACUACAGCCUUCAUAAUCUGAAGAAUAUGAAAGCGUGUGACCACACAAGUCACCAACUCACAAACCCAGGGAUCUCCUCGGGAGAGAGAGUGAUGGAGCAGAAGGAAGGAGAACGGGAUGCAGUUGUGGAAGAGAGAGCUGGGGAUGGAGAGAGGGAUAAAAAAGGAAAUCCUGGAUGCGUUUCACGACAGUCACGUCUAGAAUCUUUAGCAGACGAGUUAAAGGAGAGGUGUCGCAAAGUGGAUGUAGCCGUAAUGCUAAAAAAAAUAGACGUCUCGGAUCAUCUGUUGGUGCAAAGCUGCGUCAGGGAACGAGAAGAGAAAAUCUCCUCUGAUUGCUUGGAGUCGUCUGUGGCAGCAAACAGCCAAACCUAUAUAACUGUAUCAUCCAGCUGCUCCUCUCUAUCCAAACCAUCACUCUAUCUCUCCUCAAAGUCUCCGUCCACUUCCCCUUUUGCUGGAGCUGUUUGUUCAAAGCAGUCUCUUAUUGGGCGUCUUAAGGCUGAAUGUCUGUUAUCUUCCCUCGCUGUCAGCGUUCCACGUCUGGACUUGGAUGCGUAUCCUUCUGUCCACCAGAGGGCAGCAGAAGCGCCCUGCCCCGCCUCCCCACACACCUGCCACAGAGACAGUGCAUCCUCUCCACCUCUCAAAGAGACGGGGAACGUCAUCCCAACCAGCUCCCAGACUCCCAGAAACCCUGAAGGAGAUGUUCAACACUCGUCUGCAUCAUCCCGACCACCUCCGGUCUCUCCGUCUGCCUCUGCAGCUUAUAGCAAAACACGUCCUCCUGCUGUGCCUAAAGAACGCACUGGGUCAGGUACUGGCACCGGCCGCAAAGUUUGUGUGAGUGGACUUAAUGUCAGCCGCUGGUCAAAGAGGGGUGCUGGAGAAUUCAAUGAAAAGCGGAGGAAAAAGGACGGACGGAUAAAGACGGUGUCAGGAGACUGGGGCAGCAUGUCUUCUGCAGGGGACUCAUCAUGUGCCUGGCUGCAGGGCACCAGUGGGAUCGGUCUGGCUGUAACGCCUCUCAGGAUGGAGCAAAUGAAUCUGUCUUCCAUUCUGACCAACUUUACUCCCGACACACUCACGACACACUCCUGGGGCCGACUAAAGGCAGCACUGUCCCUGCAUAAGAAGAAGACUGGUAUGUGUCUGCAGCAGACCAGAUAA